CGGCGGACGGGUGAGUAACACGUGGACAAUCUGCCCCCCGGCCCGGGAUAGCCCAGGGAAACCUGGAUUAAUACCGGAUGAGACGGGACCCGCGAUGGCGGGAUCCGGGAAAGGCGCUGCGGCGCCGCCGGGGGGAUGAGUCUGCGUCCCAUUAGCUAGACGGCGGGGUAACGGCCCACCGUGGCGACGAUGGGUAGCCGGCCUGAGAGGGUGGACGGCCACAUUGGAACUGAGACACGGUCCAGACUCCUACGGGAGGCAGCAGGCUAAGAAUCUUCCGGCAAUGGGCGAAAGCCUGACGGAGCGAACCGCCGCGUGAACGAAGAAGGCCGUGAGGUUGUAAAGUUCUUUUCGGGAGGGGGAACAACCGUGGCAGGGAAUGGCCGCGGGAUGACGUGAAUCCCGGAAUAAGCCCCGGCUAACUACGUGCCAGCCGCCGC
Molecule: ribosomal RNA, 440 nt
Filed under: uncultured bacterium
Lineage: Bacteria
Description: bacterial SSU rRNA
Rfam family: Bacterial small subunit ribosomal RNA
Source: RNAcentral